CCUACGGGUGGCAGCAGUGAGGAAUAUUGGUCAAUGGGCGUAUGCCUGAACCAGCCAAGUCGCGUGAGGGAUGAAGGUUCUAUGGAUCGUAAACCUCUUUUAUAAGGAAAUAAAGUGCGGGACGUGUCCCGUUUUGUAUGUACCGUAUGAAUAAGGAUCGGCUAACUCCGUGCCAGCAGCCGCGGUAAUACGGAGGAUCCGAGCGUUAUCCGGAUUUAUUGGGUUUAAAGGGUGCGUAGGCGGAAUGCCAAGUCAGCGGUAAAAUCGCGGGGCUCAACCUCGCUCCGCCGUUGAAGCUGGCGUUCGUGAGUGGGCGAGAAGUAUGCGGAAUGCGUUGUGUAGCGGUGAAAUGCAUAGAUAUCACGCAGAACUCCGAUUGCGAAGGCAGCAUACCGGCGCCCAACUGACGCUGAAGCACGAAAGCGUGGGUAUCGAACAGGAUUAGAUACCCUGGUAGUC
This 459-nucleotide ribosomal RNA is filed under the name uncultured bacterium. RNAcentral describes it as "partial 16S ribosomal RNA". It matches the Rfam family "Bacterial small subunit ribosomal RNA", at positions 338 to 795 of the family's 1533-position model. The record is from RNAcentral.